This 604-nucleotide unclassified non-coding RNA is filed under the name Subanguina radicicola. Its description in RNAcentral is "sequence contains 18S rRNA gene, ITS1, 5.8S rRNA gene, ITS2, 28S rRNA gene". The stretch from base 1 to 192 matches the Rfam family "Eukaryotic small subunit ribosomal RNA", at positions 1642 to 1831 of the family's 1831-position model. The record is from RNAcentral. Lineage: Eukaryota; Metazoa; Nematoda; Chromadorea; Rhabditida; Anguinidae.
UGAUUACGUCCCUGCCCUUUGUACACACCGCCCGUCGCUGCCCGGGACUGAGCCAUUUCGAGAAAUUUGGGGAUUGCUGAUUAGCGGUCUUUCGGGAUUGCUUUUUGGUGAGAACCAAUUUAAUCGCAGUGGCUUGAACCGGGCAAAAGUCGUAACAAGGUGGCUGUAGGUGAACCUGCUGCCGGAUCAUUAUCGAUCAACCAAAACACUAGGAGAAGGAUCUGACUGGACCUUUUCCGUGGAAUGUUGAAUUCAUUCCUUACAGUCAAUAGUCCAAGAGAAUGCCGUGAUAUUGGCAUGAUACUUACUGGAGUUGUUCCCACCGGUUUGUAUGCCUAUUCUUGGGCGAAAAACGGCUCUGUUGGCUUCUAAGAUUCUCUGAGCAGUUGUAUGCCUACGUCCGUGGCUGCGUUGAAGAGAGUCGGCACGUGGUCUUUGUGAUCGCGAGAAUUAAUGAGUACUAGUUAGGUGCCGCCAACAAAAAACCCUAUUUUUAAACUUUUUACAAAGAAACAUUUCUAGUCUUAUCGGUGGAUCACUCGGUUCAUAGAUCGAUGAAGAACGCAGCCAACUGCGAUAUAUGGUGUGAACUGCAGAUAUUUUG